GGGGAUUUAGCUCAGCGGUAGAGUGCUUGCCUAGCAAGCACAAGGCCCUGGGUUCGGUUCCCAGCUCUG
Molecule: non-coding RNA, 69 nt
Organism: Rattus norvegicus (Norway rat)
Lineage: Eukaryota; Metazoa; Chordata; Mammalia; Rodentia; Muridae
Source: Rfam